UGAGACAGAAAGGUCCUUGGAUGUUGUCAUUGAGAGGUAAUUUGAAGUUGAAUUUUGAUGACAGCUUUUUUGGAAGCCCAAGGCCCUUUGGUUUCAUGGGCAUCUUACAAGAUUAUGCAUGUGCUAUUGCUUUUUUGUUAUACAGGUGCUAGUGAUAUUUUGACCGCUAAUGAAGCAUAAAUGGAAGCUUUGGAGCAAUGUUU
Molecule: long non-coding RNA, 203 nt
Filed under: Amborella trichopoda
Lineage: Eukaryota; Viridiplantae; Streptophyta; Magnoliopsida; Amborellales; Amborellaceae
Description: long non-coding RNA (ATRI_LNC003144)
Source: RNAcentral